This 254-nucleotide ribosomal RNA is filed under the name uncultured bacterium. RNAcentral describes it as "partial 16S ribosomal RNA". It matches the Rfam family "Bacterial small subunit ribosomal RNA", at positions 524 to 776 of the family's 1533-position model. The record is from RNAcentral.
UACGUAGGGAGCGAGCGUUGUCCGGAUUUAUUGGGCGUAAAGAGCACGUAGGCGGCUCGGUAAGUCGGGUGUGAAAACUCCAAGCUCAACUUGGAGCGGCCACUCGAUACUGCUGUGGCUAGAGUCUGGUAGGGGAUCACGGAAUUCCUGGUGUAGCGGUGAAAUGCUUAGAUAUCAGGAGGAACACCGGUGGCGAAGGCGGUGAUCUGGGCCAGUACUGACGCUGAGGUGCGAAAGCGUGGGGAGCGAACAGG